Molecule: non-coding RNA, 135 nt
Organism: Triticum aestivum (bread wheat)
Lineage: Eukaryota; Viridiplantae; Streptophyta; Magnoliopsida; Poales; Poaceae
Source: Rfam
CAUGUACUCCCUCCGUUCAAAAUUACUUGACUUUCAUUUGUUAAAAAUGGAUGUACCUAUAUACUAAAAGCUGUCUAGAUACAUCUAUAUUUUAAUAAAUGGAAGUCAUGUAUUGUGGAACGGAGGGAGUACUAU